UGAGCAAUCUGCCUAGAUGUGGGGGAUAGCCGGCCCAACGGCCGGGUAAUACCGCAUACGCUCUCCUGGUGGCAUCACCGGGUGAGGAAACUUUCGAGGCGUCUAGAGGAGCUCGCGGCCUAUCAGCUAGUUGGUGAGGUAAUGGCUCACCAAGGCUUUGACGGGUAGCUGGUCUGAGAGGAUGGCCAGCCACAUUGGGACUGAGAUACGGCCCAGAUCCGUAACGGG
Molecule: ribosomal RNA, 228 nt
Filed under: uncultured bacterium
Lineage: Bacteria
Description: partial 16S ribosomal RNA
Rfam family: Bacterial small subunit ribosomal RNA
Source: RNAcentral